UUAAGUUCAGCGGGUAUUCCUACCUGAUUCGAGGUCAACCUUUAAAAAUUGGGGUGUUUUACGGCAGGGGACGGCCCAACUACAGACGAGAGAAAUUUACUACGUCUAGAGUGUGAGACCGACUCCGCCACUAACUUUGGGGAGCUACAGUGAUGUAGGCUCCCAACGCUAAGCAACAGGGCUUAAGGGUUGAAAUGACG
Molecule: unclassified non-coding RNA, 200 nt
Filed under: Xylaria sp.
Lineage: Eukaryota; Fungi; Ascomycota; Sordariomycetes; Xylariales; Xylariaceae
Description: partial internal transcribed spacer 2
Source: RNAcentral